CCUACGGGUGGCAGCAGUGGGGAAUAUUGCACAAUGGGGGGAACCCUGAUGCAGCGACGCCGCGUGAGUGAAGAAGUAUUUCGGUAUGUAAAGCUCUAUCAGCAGGGAAGAAAAUGACGGUACCCGACUAAGAAGCCCCGGCUAACUACGUGCCAGCAGCCGCGGGAAUACGUAGGGGGCAAGCGUUAUCCGGAUUUACUGGGUGUAAAGGGAGCGCAGACGGCUGUGCAAGUCUGGAGUGAAAGGCGGGGGCCCAACCCCCGGACUGCUCUGGAAACUGUAAAGCUGGAGUGCAGGAGAGGUAAGCGGAAUUCCUAGUGUAGCGGUGAAAUGCGUAGAUAUUAGGAGGAACACCAGUGGCGAAGGCGGCUUACUGGACUGCAACUGACGUUGAGGCUCGAAAGCGUGGGGAGCAAACAGGAUUAGAUACCCCAGUAGUC
This 440-nucleotide ribosomal RNA is filed under the name uncultured bacterium. Its description in RNAcentral is "partial 16S ribosomal RNA". It matches the Rfam family "Bacterial small subunit ribosomal RNA", at positions 338 to 795 of the family's 1533-position model. The record is from RNAcentral.